CAGUUGUAUGCAGUAAUGUUUUGUGAUUUUUUUUUUUUUUUAACAUCUCUCUCCUGAGAGCUCUAUAAUAUAAGUCCAGAUUGCUGCUGUCCUCCCCUGACAGGCUGGCAGAGAAGUAUUGAUCCAUCAUGGGAGGAGGAGAUGAAGUGACAACAGCAGGGACUUUUAUUUGCUCAUCCCAGAAAGAAGAACCAGAAGUCAGUGUUAGCUAAUCUCCCAUGCUUAAGUAGGAGGAUGUUAAAGGAACAGUGCAAAAAAAUGUCCUGGAUUAUUCUUCCAUUACAACUUGGGCACAGGGUGUGUUGGCAAUAAAGUUGCCUUGCUGAGAAUAAAAAUGCUGUCAUCUCUUAAAGACUUAUGUGCAACAGGAUUGAGAGACUACUCCACAAUCAAAACCAACUGCAAAAGAAAUGUUUUGUCCAUCUCUCCCACCACCUGACAGAGGCCACAAAAGGUUGCAAUGUUUUAGGGAAAUUGUACACUGUGAAAAAAACUAAAAAAAAACAACCCAGAAGUAUAAACAGGAAGAUGGUAGUUUUUUGUCAUAGGAACGUGUACAGAUUGGAAUAAAAAUGAAGAGAGAAAGGUGUUUAGGGGCAUUUGUGAAACACAGGAUUAAAUAAAAGCACUUGCUUCUACAAAAGUUUUGGCAGGACCCAGAUUCAUGAUGAUGUUUUUAGAAGAAAAGCAGUAAAAUUAAUUUAUAAUAAGAAUGUGUAUGAUCCACAAGUUCAAUCUGUAUUUUUUGCUUAGCAAUUCAUUGAGUUCUGCAUACACUGCCAAAGAAAUCAAACAAGCAUAAUGUCCCCCACACUGUAUUAGUAUUCAGCAGGUAUAGCUGAAUUCUAGUCCAUACACGUGGAGAGCAAUUAUUCUGUUGCACAGACGUUGACUUUCACAUUUUAUUUUACACUGUGUUUUACCAUUCUUUGUUAGUUCUUUUCCAGUUCUGCAAUGCUCUGCAUAUGGCUGGAUUGCUGCAUUCAGACAGACUGCAGUGAAGUCAGCCAGCUCAUAACAAAUUCUAAAAUUGGGGCAAAAGUGAAGAAUAUUAAAUUGUGGAGAAUAAGAAUGACAGCAUGUUUGUUUUUUUCAGAAGCAAAUCCACAAAAUGUUGCUGGUUGGGGUAGCACAGGCUGGGACCAGGACAUAAAAGUACACUAUGGCACAAGAGCACUGCAGCUACUGAGUGGUUUUCUAGUUUUUCAUUCUGCUUUCUUUGCAAAAAACUUUUUGUCUGUAAAAUAUCUUGGUCUCAGUUGCCUGGGGAGCACUUCCAAAAGGCAAGCGAUACCUGUCACCGCUUUAAAUUGUUUUGUACAUGGGAGUAAAAAUUAAUCCAUUUUAGUAGGCAAUAUAAAGGAUCAUAACUAUCAGCCAUCACCAAAUAAUAAUAUACCAUCCGUGAUACACUUAAUAUUUUUUGAAAAUUAAGGAAGCCUUGUGACUGUAUUCUGCUUAAUCCCAAGUCCUUAAUUAUGCUUUAUUUGCAGGCUGGGUACCAUCUUCAUGACUGAAGCAUUUCUAUUGCUGGAGUCUGGUCUUCAGGCUUAGUAACCUUUUCUGAUUUUUAAGUAAAUUGAACUAAGCUGUUGAGAAGAAAGGAAAAUGGAUUAUUCUCUAGAAAUAUCCUUGACUAGUCACUCUCAUGUCUUUACCUCUGAAAUUCAUCCUCCAUAUUUAACAUUCCUCAGCUGUAUUAUAAUUUUUAUUGGCAAUAGAGUGGCUGUGCCAUUAAAACGGCUCAGAAAGAUUGCAUUAGGUAGAUGCAUAAAGCAACAGACUAAGAAUAUUCAAAUAAGAAUAUAAUUUGACAAUUUUAGUCUGAAUUAAACAAAGCAUGACUAGUCAUUCCCUUGUCUGAUGACCUUUUAAUGACUGCUCUGCUAACUAUCAGUGCAGUCACUCUCUUCCAUGCAGCCCCUGACUUUGAAAAGAAAAUAUUUCCCUUGUUGGUAAUAUGGAUGCUUUUAAUUGAUAUACACAGGAGAAAAGUCAAAAAAACAAUAAAAAAGGAAAGAAGAGGAAAGGAACAGUUGCAUAAAAAAUAUGGGGACAAUGAAGACAUAGUAGUGUCUAAUAAUUCUGGUCACUAGUUUACCAACACAGAUCCAAACUGAAGAGUUAGUAGUAAAUCUUAACAUAGCCACCAAUGAAUUUUAAUUAAUAUAGUUUAUAACACACUAGGAAAAAAAAAAAAGCUGGGGUGGGUGUUAGCUUGGGGUUUUUUGUGGGUUUUUUUGUUGUUGUUUGUUUGUUUGUUUUUAAUUCUAAUCUUUUCUUAGUUUUCCAAAUAGCAGGAAAACCUAAUAUCAGCUUAGAAAAGCCUGAAACAAGAAGUGAGAAAGGAAUGAAAAACAGUAGCAGUAUUCAGCAUCCUCAGCUGAAGAAUGACUUUGUAUAUGACUACUUUACAUCCUCCUGUUUGAAAGCAGCUGUUCCUCAGCACAUGCAAAAGGCCAGAUGAAACAGCAGCAGCAGGACUGUGAAGUCUGCACCUUUCUGAAGGGGCUGGAGCUGGAGCCAGAUGGUCCCUGUCACCUGCAGAAAUUUUUUUGGUGCUGGCUAUCCUGUAAAAUGACACAACCCCGUGUCCAGGCUGAACAGGAUAUUAUCACUGAAGCAAUGUAAAUCCCUGAAUACUCAUCCAUCACAGCAAACACUAGAAAUAUCUGCUGAAAUCCAGCUCACAAUCAGGCUUAUUUUUUUGUCUGUUUGUUUUUUUAUUCCCUAAAUGAAUUUCUGAAUCGAUGUUUAGCUAAUAACACACCAUUAAAUCUACAAGGUUAUCAUUUCAGCUUUUGAAUGCUGUUUCAUGGUAAAUGAGGCUAUUUUUUCCCAAUAUUAUAACAGUGAUUUGUACAAUAUAAUAGCCAUUUACUCAAUAGCCUUCUGCAGAAAUAAAAUCCUAUACUUUCUGCAGUACCUUUUUAAUGCAGGUUUUCAUGAAAUCCUUACUCCUGAUGGUGAAAGUUGAUUUAUAGCAGAAACUCACCCUCUUCAGGAUUAUUGUCAAUAAACGUGAAGAUGUAAUUUGAGUGAUAAUGAAAGAACAUUUUAUUGAAAAUCUCCAGAGAGUCUCUUUCAGAAGAUAUAAUUGGAGAGGGGCUAAGAGUCUCCUGCAUCAAUUUCCAAAUUAAGCAUCUAAGCUAUCAAGAUGUGUAUAUUUUAAAACUGUCUAGGGGGAAAAGAAAAAUAAUAUAAUCAAUCAAUAACAAUAUAGGAUUAGAAUACAGCUGUGUGGAAUCAGGAACAUGGAGGGGACUAGGGAAGAACUCAAACAUUUUCAGUGUACAAAUGGCAUCAAUUUUAAUUGCCAGUUUAGUCUUAACUUUCUUUUUUAUCCAUGUGUUUAAAGCUGCUGAAACAGGUCUCCAUAUUUUGCAAAUUGUACAGCUGUACCAACCAGCUUGUUUACAGAGGUAGAAGAUGCUGCAAUUUUUAUUUUCUUAACUUUUAUUUAGAUAGACAAAUCUCCAACAGUUGACACAGUGUGAGUUUUGCUUUCUGACCCUUGUUCUUCAGGUAAUACUGAGAGCUCCUAAAAUCUCCCUCCUUUUCUAUGGCUCUAAAAUCACACCUGGAAAUAAAAUGUGUGUUUUGAACAAAUACUAUACUUUGCUAGUGUAUUUUCGAAAAGUUUAUGAUGGCAGAGUUCAAAAAUUUUCCCUGGUUGUAUGUUUGUUUCCUUACAGCAUUUUAUUCUUUAAUGUUUUGGGCCUCAAUGAUUUGAGACUUAUUUGUUUCAGAGAUGGCCUCAUUUCUUUCUUCAUUAGUGCUCUGGUCACAAAAGCUGAAGCUGCAGCUCAUCAUUAAAGAAGACAACAGGU
Myiozetetes cayanensis is the source of this 3830-nucleotide long non-coding RNA. RefSeq lists it as uncharacterized. The transcript has 3 exons. The record is from RefSeq and is a predicted model, not a curated record. NCBI's taxonomy places the organism in Eukaryota, Metazoa, Chordata, Aves, Passeriformes, Tyrannidae.